CCUACGGGACGCAGCAGUGGGGAAUAUUGCACAAUGGGGGAAACCCUGAUGCAGCGACGCCGCGUGAGUGAAGAAGUAAUUCGUUAUGUAAAGCUCUAUCAGCAGGGAAGAAAAUGACGGUACCUGAGUAAGAAGCCCCGGCUAACUACGUGCCAGCAGCCGCGGUAAUACGUAGGGGGCAAGCGUUAUCCGGAUUUACUGGGUGUAAAGGGAGCGUAGACGGCACUGCAAGCCAGAUGUGAAAGCCCGGGGCUCAACCCCGGGACUGCAUUUGGAACUGUGUAGCUGGAGUGUCGGAGAGGCAG
Molecule: ribosomal RNA, 305 nt
Filed under: uncultured bacterium
Lineage: Bacteria
Description: bacterial SSU rRNA
Rfam family: Bacterial small subunit ribosomal RNA
Source: RNAcentral